UACAACAGGAGGUCAUAAAUGAUGUCCAAA
RNAcentral lists this non-coding RNA (30 nucleotides) under Rattus norvegicus (Norway rat). The record is from RNAcentral. Lineage: Eukaryota; Metazoa; Chordata; Mammalia; Rodentia; Muridae.